RNAcentral lists this ribosomal RNA (253 nucleotides) under uncultured bacterium. RNAcentral's name for it is "partial 16S ribosomal RNA". It matches the Rfam family "Bacterial small subunit ribosomal RNA", at positions 524 to 776 of the family's 1533-position model. The record is from RNAcentral.
UACGUAGGGUGCAAGCGUUGUCCGGAAUUAUUGGGCGUAAAGAGCUUGUAGGCGGUUUGUCGCGUCUGCUGUGAAAUUUCGGGGCUCAACCCCGAACUUGCAGUGGGUACGGGCAGACUAGAGUGUGGUAGGGGAGACUGGAAUUCCUGGUGUAGCGGUGAAAUGCGCAGAUAUCAGGAGGGACACCGAUGGCGAAGGCAGGUCUCUGGGCCAUAACUGACGCUGAGAAGCGAAAGCAUGGGGAGCGAACAGG